UCUAAUAUGGCAGAGUAGUGCAUUGGAUUUAAACCCCAAAUAUAAAGGUUAAACUUUUUUUAGAA
Molecule: transfer RNA, 65 nt
Filed under: Massicus raddei
Lineage: Eukaryota; Metazoa; Arthropoda; Insecta; Coleoptera; Cerambycidae
Description: tRNA-Leu
Rfam family: tRNA
About the family: Transfer RNA (tRNA) molecules are approximately 80 nucleotides in length.
Source: RNAcentral